UAUUAUAUUCCAACUUUUUGGGUAUUUCUGAUUUAUCCCACUAUUUCGUUUGACGUUUUCCCUUUUCUAAAACCCCCAAAAUCAAAUCCCUAAAAUUUCCUCUCUUCUUUUUUUUCUCCGUUCGUUCUUUUCCCCUCUCUAUAUCGUAUAAAAAAUUUCAUAAACCUUAAUGAUUUUCGUUCAAACCACUGAUUUUACAAAGGAGGUUGAUUUGAUUUCAGUAAUCUGAUUUCUUUUUUAAAGUAAUUCGAGGAAUCUCGUUUCACCAACUUGAAAGGAAGUUCAAAUUUCUCUGCUUGUACUUCAAUUCCUGGUAUUUUUCAUAUAGGGAGAGAGCAAGAGGAGCAGCGACCGGCGAGAGAGAUGGUAGGAGCGUUUUGGGGAACAAAAGUGAUGGAGAUAGUGAAGAAGCAUAAUUCUGGUGAUCUCGUUUGGAAGAGAAUUAAGCUCACUUCCACCCGCAAGCCAACGCCAAGAAGCAUCUCCAUCGCGUUUGGCAGGGACAAUGAAUCAAAGUAGACAAAUUCCCAUGAAGAAGGUAAUAGCACUGAACACUCUCAUGAUCUAAGCCUUAACUCGGAUGGUCCAAAGAGUUUAAUAGCAAAUAAUGAUGGGUCAUCCCCAAGUUCAGCCCCACGCCAAGAAGAACUUGUUAGGUACUUAGUAGAUCUAUCCUCAACUCAGCAUCCAGCAAUGAUCCCAAACUCAAAUGUUGGUGAACGGUCUUUUGGUUGGUUUUGGCGUGUACCAAGGUUAAAUAUGAUGGUUUGGGUUAUUUAGUAUUAUGGUGUUCCUCUGUGGUAUGUAAAAAUUUAUAUAUAUAUUUGUGUUUGAUGGAAAUGGUAAAUUUUGUGAAUAGUUUGAAAGUGUUUUGCUUUGGCUUAUAUGACAUGUAAUAGGUGAAAAUUUGUAUAUGUCUUGAUUGUGUGUUUAUAAGUGAUCUUGUUUUAGACCUUGGUGUAUUGUACUCUUGUUGAGCUAGUUGAUCACUUGAUAUAAACCUUAUAAAGUGUUUGAGUUAUGGUAUAAAUGAAUAUGUUUUAAAUGGUAAGAGGAAUGGUAAGUUUUGAUA
Long non-coding RNA from Gossypium raimondii (Peruvian cotton), 1072 nucleotides. RefSeq lists it as uncharacterized. The record is from RefSeq and is a predicted model, not a curated record. NCBI's taxonomy places the organism in Eukaryota, Viridiplantae, Streptophyta, Magnoliopsida, Malvales, Malvaceae. The transcript is spliced from 4 exons.